Molecule: ribosomal RNA, 900 nt
Filed under: Levilactobacillus brevis
Lineage: Bacteria; Bacillati; Bacillota; Bacilli; Lactobacillales; Lactobacillaceae
Description: bacterial SSU rRNA
Rfam family: Bacterial small subunit ribosomal RNA
Source: RNAcentral
UAAAGGGGUGUAGGGUUACCAUCAACCUGAGGUCAUAUCUGCAAGUCGAACGAGCUUCCGUUGAAUGACGUGCUUGCACUGAUUUCAACAAUGAAGCGAGUGGCGAACUGGUGAGUAACACGUGGGAAAUCUGCCCAGAAGCAGGGGAUAACACUUGGAAACAGGUGCUAAUACCGUAUAACAACAAAAUCCGCAUGGAUUUUGUUUGAAAGGUGGCUUCGGCUAUCACUUCUGGAUGAUCCCGCGGCGUAUUAGUUAGUUGGUGAGGUAAAGGCCCACCAAGACGAUGAUACGUAGCCGACCUGAGAGGGUAAUCGGCCACAUUGGGACUGAGACACGGCCCAAACUCCUACGGGAGGCAGCAGUAGGGAAUCUUCCACAAUGGACGAAAGUCUGAUGGAGCAAUGCCGCGUGAGUGAAGAAGGGUUUCGGCUCGUAAAACUCUGUUGUUAAAGAAGAACACCUUUGAGAGUAACUGUUCAAGGGUUGACGGUAUUUAACCAGAAAGCCACGGCUAACUACGUGCCAGCAGCCGCGGUAAUACGUAGGUGGCAAGCGUUGUCCGGAUUUAUUGGGCGUAAAGCGAGCGCAGGCGGUUUUUUAAGUCUGAUGUGAAAGCCUUCGGCUUAACCGGAGAAGUGCAUCGGAAACUGGGAGACUUGAGUGCAGAAGAGGACAGUGGAACUCCAUGUGUAGCGGUGGAAUGCGUAGAUAUAUGGAAGAACACCAGUGGCGAAGGCGGCUGUCUAGUCUGUAACUGACGCUGAGGCUCGAAAGCAUGGGUAGCGAACAGGAUUAGAUACCCUGGUAGUCCAUGCCGUAAACGAUGAGUGCUAAGUGUUGGAGGGUUUCCGCCCUUCAGUGCUGCAGCUAACGCAUUAAGCACUCCGCCUGGGGAGU